Molecule: non-coding RNA, 42 nt
Filed under: Chloropicon mariensis
Lineage: Eukaryota; Viridiplantae; Chlorophyta; Chloropicophyceae; Chloropicales; Chloropicaceae
Source: RNAcentral
CUGUCUCAGCCUUUCAUGGAGAAGGCGCUCGGCAAGUGCACG